GAUCAUGGCUCAGGAUGAACGCUGGCGGCGUGCUUAACACAUGCAAGUCGAACGGGAAUUACUUUAUUGAAACUUCGGUCGAUUUAAUUUAAUUCUAGUGGCGGACGGGUGAGUAACGCGUGGGUAACCUGCCUUAUACAGGGGGAUAACAGUCAGAAAUGGCUGCUAAUACCGCAUAAGCGCACAGAGCUGCAUGGCUCAGUGUGAAAAAACUCCGGUGGUAUAAGAUGGACCCGCGUUGGAUUAG
RNAcentral lists this ribosomal RNA (247 nucleotides) under uncultured bacterium. RNAcentral describes it as "partial 16S ribosomal RNA". It matches the Rfam family "Bacterial small subunit ribosomal RNA", at positions 15 to 244 of the family's 1533-position model. The record is from RNAcentral.